Molecule: ribosomal RNA, 269 nt
Filed under: uncultured prokaryote
Description: partial 16S ribosomal RNA
Rfam family: Bacterial small subunit ribosomal RNA
Source: RNAcentral
UACGUAGGGGGCAAGCGUUAUCCGGAUUUACUGGGUGUAAAGGGAGCGCAGACGGCAGUGCAAGUCUGAUGUGAAAGCCCUGGGCUCAACCCCGGAACUGCAUUGGAAACUGUGCAGCUUGAGUGUCGGAGAGGUAAGCGGAAUUCCUAGUGUAGCGGUGAAAUGCGUAGAUAUUAGGAGGAACACCGGUGGCGAAGGCGGCUUACUGGACGAUUACUGACGUUGAGGCUCGAAAGCGUGGGGAGCAAACAGGAUUAGAUACCCUGGUA